This 51-nucleotide non-coding RNA is filed under the name Elusimicrobiota bacterium. Its description in RNAcentral is "Elusimicrobia bacterium Li+-I sequence". It matches the Rfam family "nhaA-I RNA". From Rfam's summary of the family: Acidobacteria, Alphaproteobacteria, Betaproteobacteria and Gammaproteobacteria, Verrucomicrobia, cand. division NC10. Downstream gene The record is from RNAcentral. Lineage: Bacteria; Pseudomonadati; Elusimicrobiota.
GGGUCUGAGACAGAUUUGCCUCAGAGGAUUCGGAUGGUCGGGCCGCCAUCC